AACCGUAAGCUUACCUGCUUCGCUGACGAGUGGCGGACGGGUGAGUAAUGUCUGGGAAACUGCCCGAUGGAGGGGGAUAACUACUGGAAACGGUAGCUAAUACCGCAUAACGUCGCAAGACCAAAGAGGGGGACCUUCGGGCCUCUUGCCAUCGGAUGUGCCCAGAUGGGAUUAGCUAGUAGGUGGGGUAACGGCUCACCUAGGCGACGAUCCCUAGCUGGUCUGAGAGGAUGACCAGCCACACUGGAACUGAGACACGGUCCAGACUCCUACGGGAGGCAGCAGUGGGGAAUAUUGCACAAUGGGCGCAAGCCUGAUGCAGCCAUGCCGCGUGUAUGAAGAAGGCCUUCGGGUUGUAAAGUACUUUCAGCGGGGAGGAAGGCAGUACGGUUAAUAACCGUGCUGAUUGACGUUACCCGCAGAAGAAGCACCGGCUAACUCCGUGCCAGCAGCCGCGGUAAUACGGAGGGUGCAAGCGUUAAUCGGAAUUACUGGGCGUAAAGCGCACGCAGGCGGUCUGUCAAGUCGGAUGUGAAAUCCCCGGGCUCAACCUGGGAACUGCAUUCGAAACUGGCAGG
RNAcentral lists this ribosomal RNA (578 nucleotides) under Citrobacter sp. RNAcentral's name for it is "bacterial SSU rRNA". It matches the Rfam family "Bacterial small subunit ribosomal RNA", at positions 65 to 640 of the family's 1533-position model. The record is from RNAcentral. Lineage: Bacteria; Pseudomonadati; Pseudomonadota; Gammaproteobacteria; Enterobacterales; Enterobacteriaceae.